GAGUGCUCUGUUUUAAUGGGCUCGACC
RNAcentral lists this non-coding RNA (27 nucleotides) under Rattus norvegicus (Norway rat). Lineage: Eukaryota; Metazoa; Chordata; Mammalia; Rodentia; Muridae. The record is from RNAcentral.